CGGGGUGUAGCGCAGGCUGGUAGCGCAUCUGCUUUGGGAGCAGAGGGUCGGCGGUUCGAAUCCGUCCACCCCGACCA
Molecule: transfer RNA, 77 nt
Filed under: Rhodospirillaceae bacterium
Lineage: Bacteria; Pseudomonadati; Pseudomonadota; Alphaproteobacteria; Rhodospirillales; Rhodospirillaceae
Description: tRNA-Pro
Rfam family: tRNA
About the family: Transfer RNA (tRNA) molecules are approximately 80 nucleotides in length.
Source: RNAcentral